AACCCACAAUACACACAUAUAACCCUCUGCCUUACCCUCUCUCUCUCUCUCUCCAUAACAUACACAAACACCUUACCCCUUUCCCCUCUCCACUCGUUUGUGAAUCAGCCGACAACACCCCCCCCCCCCACUUCUCUUCUCUGAUCUCCCCCUAAAUCGGCGACCGAAUGGAGGAGGCGCCGCCGCUCACGGCAGCGGUGGUGGCACACGGUGGCUGAAGCAGAUCGAAGAAAUAUAAGAGAGAGAGGGAGAAGGGAGGAGAGGAGAGAGAGAGAGGAGAACCGGUAGAUGGCGACGAACCGCCGUCUGCGGCAAAGCCGCGGCGGCGCUGAUGGUGGUUGAUUGACGACGGAGCCACGGUGGUGGUUGCACGAUGUUCUGUUGACGUGAAGACAUAGAGGUGAUGACGGCUGACCGGCGUCCGAACCGCCACACACGGCGGAAUGGCGGUGGUCCUCUCAGUCCGACAAGUUCACGAUAGAGUUGAUUGGUGUUGCUGUUGAUGAUGAUUCGGCGGUGGUGGUGGUGGUGGUGGUGGUCGACGACUGCUCGGGGCGGUCGGAGCCACACCGACACCGGAGACACCAGGUGGUGGUGAUGAUUAUGGCAGUCUGAAUUUUUGUUCAGAUUUGAUGCAAGAUCGGGUGCACAUUGGGUCGGUUGGAUCUCGGUCAGGCACGGGUGGUUCGGUUCAGUCAAGUCGGGUCACGGUCCACUAGGUCAGAUUUGGCAUCGGUCUCAAGGCGUGGUACGAGUCAACUCAGCUGCGUUUCGGGUCAAACCCGGUUGACUCGGUCAACACCUGAGUCAACUCGGGUCAACAAAAGUCAACAGAAGUCAAGGAUGGUCAACUCAAAGACCAGGAAUAUUGUAGAACGCAAGCUAGCAAGUCAAGUCUUGGAAACGACAUCACAAAGUCGUAUAUAGCUAGCUUUGCACUGGAAUAUUCAGGUUGCAUUUCAGAAAUUAUGGCACGGUUGGAAUAGGAGGACCAUGUAGAGUCGAGUACUUAGUGGGCGUACAUUUUCUAGAAGACUUAGCUUAUUUGCUUCUGUCACGACCCCUGACCCCAUCCUGGACGAAAUCGGGAGCCGCGAGCAGUCCAGUGGUAUCGUAUUUGUCACUCGACCGGAUCUGUGACUGCGGUCAUAUCACCAUUGGCUGCCCCAAUGAAUGACGUAUAUCACUUAAUUUUAGGUUCGCCCACCUAAAGUGAUAACAACAGUAGUAAUGUGCACAAUACCCCACAUACUGGCUGUAAUUUGGUGAUUACAUAAACUUAAUCACUGUAAUUAUAAUUCUGAAAAUAAUUUGGAGUAUUGUAAAACAGUU
RNAcentral lists this long non-coding RNA (1332 nucleotides) under Helianthus annuus (common sunflower). RNAcentral's name for it is "hypothetical non coding rna". Lineage: Eukaryota; Viridiplantae; Streptophyta; Magnoliopsida; Asterales; Asteraceae. The record is from RNAcentral.